CAGGCAGACCCUGAACACCCCAUCCCUCUCCCUGCACCCCAGGAUGGCCCUAUAUGGGGGUCCCCCUCUAAGGGAAAGAGCCCUUACGUGCUGCUACUGCCGUCCUCAGAAGAGACCUGACAUCACGCAGCAGCCCUGCAUGUGCCUGGGAAUGCUUCCUGCUCCCUGCUGCUUGAGAGAGAAGGUAUUUUUCACAUAACGGGAAUAAACAGCACGCUGGUUUGGUGCCUCUCAGGUCCCAAAGAUUAUACGCCUCUUCCAGGUCCAGGUGCUAUCUCCCUUAACUGUGCCGCCCACCAAACUGCACUUACCUUUUCUUUGCACCUCUUUGGAAAUGAAGAGCAAUUCCACUGAAAUCGAUGAACAUCAAGAUGUGUAAAACAAAAGAUGAGCCUACAGGUCUCUGCAUUACAGCACCUUUCAUAAAUAAACUCAGCAGGGUGAGUUAUUCUGCUGGGAACCAAAAGAAAAAAAAUCAGUAGCUUGUUUUUUUGCCUCGUUUCUUUGGGCGAGGCGCUGCGAGGAUCAGCAAGAUUUUGCAAACGCCUCACUGUGAAGUGCCAGAGCUGCGAGCGUAGCAGGACUCCCAGCCCCGGCUGCCAAACAAAAGCCGUGACUGCUUUUCCCUCAGCCUCCCAAAGGGACCGGGCCACUGCCAGCUGCACCUACGUGCGAGGGAUUCGUUUCACCGAUGUGUGACCGAAGGAGUGAGAAGCAGAUUGGCGCUGGCAGGGAGAGAAACCCGCAGAGGGCGAUCAGGUGUCCCUGGGCAAGAACACGGGGCUGUAGCGGCUGAGAUUUGCUGAAGAUAACAGCUCGGGUCUGUCCCAGCUCGCUUCUCCAGCCACUGCUAGCCCGUCCCUCCUCUUCUUUAAAUACUUCCAGCUCACACCUUCCCGGGCAAUGCUGCAAGGACGGCACGCACGGUGCUGGAGAUGGCGUGGGUGCAGCCGCCCCAGGGCUCCCGGUCUCGCAGCAGGUAAACAGUGGUCUGUCCUUCUCCCUCCUUGUGCAAAAUCCGUCCCGUGGAGCCUGCAGCCAGGGUUGAAACCGCACUAACAGCUCUUUCCGUCUUCUUUUUACUUAGCUUCUCUUAAUUUCAUGGUUUUAUAGCCUUAAUGGGGGGAGGAGGGAAGAAUGUAGGUGUGAAGAGGCAGAGAUGGGUGAUGUACUGACCAGCCUUUCCUAUGUGAGAACUAAGAAAGCUGAAUCGCUCUUAAGCAUGAUACGAGCAGCAUGCUAACGUGUUCAAAUACAUAACUUUUAUCAUUUAAUUAUACAUUGUCUAAUUAAAGCUGUGUCUGGACAGGA
Harpia harpyja (harpy eagle) is the source of this 1311-nucleotide long non-coding RNA. RefSeq lists it as uncharacterized. Lineage: Eukaryota; Metazoa; Chordata; Aves; Accipitriformes; Accipitridae. The record is from RefSeq and is a predicted model, not a curated record. The transcript has 2 exons.